Molecule: ribosomal RNA, 432 nt
Filed under: uncultured bacterium
Lineage: Bacteria
Description: bacterial SSU rRNA
Rfam family: Bacterial small subunit ribosomal RNA
Source: RNAcentral
AACGAACGCUGGCGGCAGGCCUAACACCUGCAAGUCGAGCGCCCCGCAAGGGGAGCGGCGGACGGGUGAGUAACACGUGGGAACGUACCCUUUGCUACGGAAUAGUCUCGGGAAACUGGGGGGUAAUACCGUAUGUGCCCUUCGGGGGAAAGAUUUAUCGGCAAAGGAUCGGCCCGCGUUGGAUUAGGUAGUUGGUGGGGUAAUGGCCUACCAAGCCGACGAUCCAUAGCUGGUUUGAGAGGAUGAUCAGCCACACUGGGACUGAGACACGGCCCAGACUCCUACGGGAGGCAGCAGUGGGGAAUCUUAGACAAUGGGCGCAAGCCUGAUCUAGCCAUGCCGCGUGAGCGAUGAAGGCCUUAGGGUUGUAAAGCUCUUUCAGUGGGGAAGAUAAUGACUGUACCCACAGAAGAAGCCCCGGCUAACUCCGUG